CACUCCUGCGGGAGGCAGCAGUGGGGAAUUUUGGACAAUGGGCGAAAGCCUGAUCCAGCAAUGCCGCGUGCAGGAUGAAGGCCUUCGGGUUGUAAACUGCUUUUGUACGGAACGAAAAAGCUCCUUCUAAUACAGGGGGCCCAUGACGGUACCGUGAGAAUAAGCACCGGCUAACUACGUGCCAGCAUCCGCGGUAAUACGUAGGGUGCGAGCGGUAAUCGGAAUUACUGGGCGUAAAGCGUGCGCAGGCGGUUAUGUAAGACAGAUGUGAAAUCCCCGGGCUCAACCUAGGAACUGCAUUGGUGACUGCAUGGCUAGAGUACGGUAGCGGGGGAUGGAAUUCCGCGUGUAGCAGUGAAAUGCGUAGGUAUGCGGAGGAACACCGAUGGCGAAGGCAAUCCCCUGGACCUGUACUGACGCUCAUGCACGAAAGCGUGGGGAGCAAACAGGAUUAGAAACCCGAGUAGUCCCAUGAU
This 476-nucleotide ribosomal RNA is filed under the name uncultured organism. RNAcentral's name for it is "partial 16S ribosomal RNA". It matches the Rfam family "Bacterial small subunit ribosomal RNA", at positions 334 to 801 of the family's 1533-position model. The record is from RNAcentral.